AAAACCGGGUGAAAAACCCGGUCGCCGUAAACCCGAGGGUUCCUGGGUAAAGAUAAUCUUCUCAGGGUUAGUCGGUCCCUAAGGCGAGGCAGAAAUGCGUAGUCGAUGGGAAGCAGGCGAAUAUUCCUGCACCAGCACGGAUGGUUUUGUAAGGUGGGACGGAGGAGGAUAGCCGAGCGACCUGAUGGAUGGUCGUUCAAGCCGGUAGGCGGCUCGCGUAGGAGGCAGUUGGCCACAAACGCGCGAGUAACGCCGAGAGGUGAUGAGGGUCGCCGUAAGGCGGACAACUCGGUGAGUCCAAGCUUCCAAGAAAAGCAUCGUACAAGUGUACCGCUGUGCUGACCGUACCGUAAACCGACACAGGUGGGUGGGGAGAACAUCCCAAGGCGCUUGAGAGAACUCGGGUUAAGGAACUCGCAAAUUGACACCGUAACUUCGGGAGAAGGUGUGCCCUUGAGGGUGACGGGCCUCGCGCCAUGAGCCUUUGGGGGUUGCAGAGAAUCGGGGGUAGCGACUGUUUACCAAAAACACAGGACUCUGCGAAGUCGCAAGACGACGUAUAGGGUCUGACGCCUGCCCGGUGCCGGAAGGUUAACAGGAGAUGUCAGCGUAAGCGAAGCAUCGAAUCGAAGCCCCGGUAAACGGCGGCCGUAACAAUAACGGUCCUAAGGUAGCGAAAUUCCUUGGCGGGUAAGUUCCGUCCUGCACGAAUGGCGUAACGACUUCCCCACUGUCUCGACCCGGGACUCAGCGAAAUUGAAAUCGGGGUGAAGAUGCCCCGUACCCGCGGCAAGACGGAAAGACCCCGUGAACCUUUACUGCAGCUUGGCACUGGUUUUCGGACUUGUCUGUGUAGGAUAGGUGGGAGGCUAUGAUGUGGGGCCGCUAGGUUCCACGGAGCCAACGUUGAAAUACCACCCUGAGAAGUCUGAAAGCCUAACCGUGACCAGUAAGCCUGGUCCGGGACACUGCCUGGUGGGUAGUUUGACUGGGGCGGUCACCUCCGAAAGAGUAACGGAGGCGCGCAAAGGUUCCCUCAGGCUGAUUGGAAACCAGCCGAAGAGUGUAAAGGCAUAAGGGAGCUUGACUGCAACUCAUACAAGAGGAGCAGGCACGAAAGUGGGCCUUAGUGAUCCGGUGGUUCUGAAUGGAAGGGCCAUCGCUCAACGGAUAAAAGGUACUCCGGGGAUAACAGGCUUAUCACGCCCAAGAGUUUAUAUCGACGGCGUGGUUUGGCACCUCGAUGUCGGCUCAUCGCAUCCUGGGGCUGUAGUAGGUCCCAAGGGUUUGGCUGUUCGCCAAUUAAAGCGGUACGCGAGCUGGGUUCAAAACGUCGUGAGACAGUUUGGUCCCUAUCUGCCGUGGGCGCAGGAAACUUGAAGUGGAGCUGUCCCUAGUACGAGAGGACCGGGAUGGACAGACCCCUGGUGUUCCGGUUGUUUUGCCAAGAGCAUCGCCGGGUAGCCAUGUCUGGAACGGAUAACCGCUGAAC
This 1492-nucleotide ribosomal RNA is filed under the name metagenome. Its description in RNAcentral is "bacterial LSU rRNA". It matches the Rfam family "Bacterial large subunit ribosomal RNA", at positions 1313 to 2776 of the family's 2925-position model. The record is from RNAcentral.